This 253-nucleotide ribosomal RNA is filed under the name uncultured bacterium. RNAcentral's name for it is "partial 16S ribosomal RNA". It matches the Rfam family "Bacterial small subunit ribosomal RNA", at positions 524 to 776 of the family's 1533-position model. The record is from RNAcentral.
UACGAUGGUCCCGAGCGUUGUUCGGAAUCACUGGGCGUAAAGGGAGCGUAGGCUGCACGGUAAGUCAGAUGUGAAAUCCCGGGGCUCAACCCCGGAACUGCAUCCGAUACUGCCAUGCUAGAGGAUUGGAGAGGUAGCUGGAAUUUACGGUGUAGCAGUGAAAUGCGUAGAUAUCGUAAGGAACACUCGUGGCGAAAGCGAGCUACUGGACAAUUCCUGACGCUGAGGCUCGAAGGCUAGGGUAGCGAAAGGG